Molecule: ribosomal RNA, 429 nt
Filed under: Gemmatimonadota bacterium
Lineage: Bacteria; Pseudomonadati; Gemmatimonadota
Description: Gemmatimonadetes bacterium partial 16S ribosomal RNA
Rfam family: Bacterial small subunit ribosomal RNA
Source: RNAcentral
UAGGGAAUCUUCGGCAAUGGACGAAAGUCUGACCGAGCAACGCCGCGUGAGUGAAGAAGGUUUUCGGAUCGUAAAACUCUGUUGUUAGAGAAGAACAAGGACGUUAGUAACUGAACGUCCCCUGACGGUAUCUAACCAGAAAGCCACGGCUAACUACGUGCCAGCAGCCGCGGUAAUACGUAGGUGGCAAGCGUUGUCCGGAUUUAUUGGGCGUAAAGCGAGCGCAGGCGGUUUCUUAAGUCUGAUGUGAAAGCCCCCGGCUCAACCGGGGAGGGUCAUUGGAAACUGGGAGACUAGAGUGCAGAAGAGGAGAGUGGAAUUCCAUGUGUAGCGGUGAAAUGCGUAGAUAUAUGGGGGAACACCAGUGGCGAAGGCGGCUCUCUGGUCUGUAACUGACGCUGAGGCUCGAAAGCGUGGGGAGCAAACAGG